GUGGCGGUUAACCCCCCUCUGUGCCACAGGAAGUGGAACACACCUGCAUCCUGGGUAAUAACGGCCCUUAUUCAGCCAAUGGGAGCCGUUUAGGAUGCACGGGAGUGCAUGUGGGACUCUGCUCUACACCUCGUUCAGCCAUCAGUGAGUGUGCUGUGGAUGGCCCGUCCUCCUGCCUGCGUUGAUAGAUCUGCUCAGAUUUCACGCCCUUGACACACAGUCUUCAGCCCCAGGUGUUGACAGAGCUCACCUCACAGGAGUCACUAGCGCUGGACUCACAGACGCUCGGGCCUUUUCAGGGUGGGAUGCCGUGCCGCAGCAGCCGGAAGGACACGGUGACUCUGAUCCUGUGAAAUAUUUUUAUUAUCGUUUAUGAGAACAGCUGGCCAGCUCCAGGCUCUUAAAUCGGACACUGACAUAUCAUUUUUGAGAGCAACAGGGUGACUGAGGUUCCAUAAA
Anguilla anguilla (European eel) is the source of this 459-nucleotide long non-coding RNA. RefSeq lists it as uncharacterized. The record is from RefSeq and is a predicted model, not a curated record. Lineage: Eukaryota; Metazoa; Chordata; Actinopteri; Anguilliformes; Anguillidae. The transcript has 4 exons.